GCAACGGUGGUAUAAGGGUUAUCAUAGCUGCUUUCCAAGCAGUUUACCUUGGUUCGAUUCCCGGUCGUCGCA
Cordylochernes scorpioides is the source of this 72-nucleotide non-coding RNA. The record is from the annotation of a GenBank genome assembly. Lineage: Eukaryota; Metazoa; Arthropoda; Arachnida; Pseudoscorpiones; Chernetidae.